This 445-nucleotide ribosomal RNA is filed under the name uncultured bacterium. RNAcentral describes it as "partial 16S ribosomal RNA". It matches the Rfam family "Bacterial small subunit ribosomal RNA", at positions 30 to 526 of the family's 1533-position model. The record is from RNAcentral.
AUUGAACGCUGGCGGCAGGCCUAACACAUGCAAGUCGAACGAGUGGCGGACGGGUGAGUAAUGUCUGGGCAACUGCCUGAUGGAGGGGGAUAACUACUGGAAACUGUAGCUAAUACCGCAUACCAUCAGAUGUGCCCAGAUGGGAUUAGCUUGGGGGUGGGGUAACGGCUCACCAAGGCGACGAUCCCUAGCUGGUCGGAGAGGAUGACCAGCUACGCUUGAACUGAGACAGGGUCAAGACUCCUACGGGAGGCAGCAGUGGGGAAUAUUGCACAAUGGGCGCAAGCCUGAGGCAGCUAUGCCGCGUGUAUGAAGAAGGCCUUCGGCUUGUAAAGUACUUUCAGCGGGGAUGCUUUCGCUAUCGAACAAGGCUCACUAUAGGGUGGGUUGAGGGUAGGUGGAGAAGAAGCGCCGGCUAACUACGUGCCAGCAGCCGCGGUAAUAC